This 500-nucleotide ribosomal RNA is filed under the name uncultured bacterium. Its description in RNAcentral is "partial 16S ribosomal RNA". It matches the Rfam family "Bacterial small subunit ribosomal RNA", at positions 30 to 523 of the family's 1533-position model. The record is from RNAcentral.
AUUGAACGCUGGCGGCAUGCCUUACACACGCAAGUCGAACGGCAGCACGGGAGCAAUCCUGGUGGCGAGUGGCGAACGGGUGAGUAAAGUAUCGGAACGUGCCCAGUCGUGGGGGAUAACGUAGCGAAAGUUACGCUAAUACCGCAUACGAUCUAUGAAUGAAAGCGGGGGAUCGCAAGACCUCGCGCGAUUGGAGCGGCCGAUAACAGAUUAGGUAGUUGGUGGGGUAAAGGCUCACCAAGCCGACGAUCUGUAGCUGGUCUGAGAGGACGACCAGCCACACUGGGACUGAGACACGGCCCAGACUCCUACGGGAGGCAGCAGUGGGGAAUUUUGGACAAUGGGCGAAAGCCUGAUCCAGCCAUGCCGCGUGCAGGAUGAAGGCCUUCGGGUUGUAAACUGCUUUUGUACGGAACGAAAAGGUUUGGCCUAAUAAGCUGAGCUCAUGACGGUACUGUAAGAAUAAGCACCGGCUAACUACGUGCCAGCCGCCGCGGUAA